GAUGAAGAACGCAGCGAAAUGCGAUAAGUAAUGUGAAUUGCAGAAUUCAGUGAAUCAUCGAAUCUUUGAACGCACCUUGCGCCCUUUGGCCAUUCCGAAGGGCAUGCCUGUUUGAGUAUCGUGAACACCUCAACUCUUCAUGGUUUUCCAUGAUGAGCUUGGACUUUGGGGGUCUUGCUGGCCUGUGGGUCGGCUCCUCUCAAAUGAAUCAGCUUGCCGGUUUUUGGUGGGCAUCACAGGUGUGAUAACUAUCUACGCUUGUGGUUUUCCACCAGGGUAACCUUCAGCAGUGGAGGUUCACUGGAGCUUACAAAUGUCUCUCCUCUGUGAGGACAGCCCUUUGAAUGUUUGAUCUCAAAUCAGGUAGGACUACCCGCUGAACUUAAGCAUAUCAAUAAGCGGAGGA
Molecule: unclassified non-coding RNA, 406 nt
Filed under: soil metagenome
Description: partial contains 5.8S ribosomal RNA, internal transcribed spacer 2, and large subunit ribosomal RNA
Rfam family: 5.8S ribosomal RNA (bases 1-121)
Source: RNAcentral